This 87-nucleotide transfer RNA is filed under the name Serratia marcescens. RNAcentral's name for it is "tRNA-Ser(gct)". Lineage: Bacteria; Pseudomonadati; Pseudomonadota; Gammaproteobacteria; Enterobacterales; Yersiniaceae. The record is from RNAcentral.
CGCUGGCCGCGGCGGGCAAAUUCCGCGCCGAUCUGCUGGAUCGGCUGGCGUUCGACGUGGUGCAGCUGCCGCCGCUGCGCCAACGGC